RNAcentral lists this long non-coding RNA (613 nucleotides) under Danio rerio (zebrafish). RNAcentral's name for it is "lncRNA si:ch211-176i7.2 (ENSDARG00000102392.2)". Lineage: Eukaryota; Metazoa; Chordata; Actinopteri; Cypriniformes; Danionidae. The record is from RNAcentral.
GUCACUUGUGUUUAUCGUGGCCAGUGUGUAUAUCAGAUGGGAUUAUUUGCUCUGGAUGUUUGAUAUCAUUAUUAAUGAGAUGGAUUUGAAUUCUGAGUUAUCAAGUCUUUUCUUCAUCAUGCUAAAUCCAGAUACAAGCACGAUGACGUAUGUAAAAAAUAGCUCAGUCAGUACACACCUGUGUGGAUCUUCAGACAUUCCCAGACAUUUCACAAAAAAUGGGCAACACCACUGCAUGCUGCAAAACUUUCAGUUGUUUGAACUGGAAGCAUGAGGUGAACGAACUAAUCACCACCACUUUUCCAGUUCAGUAUUCAGUCCAGUGUGUUGAGAAUGCUGAGGCUGAAGAGGCGAAAGUGGUGUUUGAAUCUGAAUCAUUUCCGUACCACCCUCAUUUCACCGGUCAUCCAAAGAAGUCAGUCCAGUGUGUUGAGAAUGCUGAGGCUGAAGUGGUGAUAGUGGUGUUUGACUCUGAAUCAUUUCCGUACCACUUUAAUUUCACCAGUCAUCCAAAGGUUUCAGAUCAGUGUGUGCAGAAUCCAGAUGUUUGAUUUUUGAACAUCUCACCACACUUCUCCACAUUCUAAAAUGAAUAAAAACAAAAUGUACAAUG